AUGAACUCCUACUCCGGCGACCGGUCCUCCUCCCGUCCCACCACAACCUCCUUCGACUCCUACCAGUUUGACUUCGGGGCCAACGCCUCCCGCUCCUCCACCUCCCGCCCCCUCCGCGACCAGAGGCCAGGUGGCGCCACCAACCCUUCACCGAGGCCAACCACCACAAACACAUGGUCACACCAGCCGGUGAAGACGUCCUGGACUCAUCAGCCAUCCCCGUCCGCCGCCGCGGCGCUCGGAUCCGGGCCUGUGUCCAUGGUCGGCGACAUCUCCGGCCGGAGCUGGUCCGCCACUGCGCCCUCCUCCGGCAUCGGCCUCCCUCAGUCCAACAACCCCAACCUCUUCAGCGACCUCCUCGGGCCCGCGCUUGGAUCCACCCGAGCCCAGUCCAACGCGCCGCUCAGAUCAGCAGCGGCCCAGCCCUCCAAGCCGUCAAGCGCUAACCCUAGGACCAACAGCUCUUCCUUCUCGAUGGGCGGUAUGGCGAGCACGCUCCCGAAAACCACCGGGGCACCGAUAGCUUCUGGUAGUUAUGGGGUUGGUGGCCGGCCAAUGAAGCCGGUGGGCAUGGCGCCGGCGACCGCGUCACAGCCCACGGCGCAGAAGAAGGAUCCGUUCGGCUCCAUAGAUCCCUUCGCGGCGAAGCCUGGGUCUAUGAAUGCUGCAAAGCAGGCAGGUUCGGCCAAAUCGGAUCAGGGAUUUGGCGUGUUUCAGGGCGUGAGUUCGGGCGCCAACGCUGGAUUCAGUAGUUUCCAGAAAGCCGGUGCUGGAUCCAGUGGCUUCCAGAGUUCUGGUGCCACGAAGCCUUCCAAUGUUACGCCUCCGCCUGCACCCGCUCCAGCGCCUGUUUCUGCAGCGGUGAACUCUGGCGUGGAUCAUUUUGACACGCUGUUUCCUUCGUCCGCAUCUGCACCAACUGCUUCUGCGGCGAGUAAUGGUGGUGGUGACAUGUUUGGUGAGAUGGAUGGUUGGGUGGACGUGGAGUCGGAGUAUGUUGGUGGUGGUGAUAGCAGUGGCACAACCACAGAGCUGGAGGGAUUACCGCCACCACCCUCUGGGUUGACGGCAUCUGCUGCUAAGGCAAAAGGAAUGGAUAAUUACAAGGGUGGGCAGUAUGCUGAUGCUAUCAAAUGGUUGUCUUGGGCUGUUCUGCUCAUCGAGAAGACUGGGAAAAAUGCUGGUAUUGCAGAGGUGUUGUCAUCAAGGGCCUCGUCCUAUAAGGAGGUCGGCGAGUACAAGAAGGCUAUUGCCGACUGUUCGAAGGUGCUCGAGCAAGAUAAGGACAAUGUGUCGGUGCUAGUGCAACGUGCUCUCUUAUAUGAGAGCAGUGAGAAAUAUAGGCUUGGGGCUGAGGACCUGCGUUUGGUUCUGAAGAUUGACCCUGGGAAUCGUCUUGCCAGGAGUAUGAUUCAUCGAUUGAACAAAAUGGCUGACUAG
This 1440-nucleotide ribosomal RNA is filed under the name Triticum aestivum (bread wheat). RNAcentral describes it as "partial small subunit ribosomal RNA". The record is from RNAcentral. Lineage: Eukaryota; Viridiplantae; Streptophyta; Magnoliopsida; Poales; Poaceae.